Molecule: transfer RNA, 72 nt
Filed under: Ovis aries (sheep)
Lineage: Eukaryota; Metazoa; Chordata; Mammalia; Artiodactyla; Bovidae
Rfam family: tRNA
About the family: Transfer RNA (tRNA) molecules are approximately 80 nucleotides in length. Their secondary structure includes four short double-helical elements and three loops (D, anti-codon, and T loops).
Source: Rfam by way of RNAcentral
UCCCUAGUGGUCCAGUGGCUAAGACCCCUGCCCCCAAUGCAGGGGGUCUGGGUUCAAUCCCCAGAUAGGGAA